GCGAGAACUACCAGGCUUGACAUGCUUGAAGUAGAAACUCGAAGAGGACGACCUGUAUCCAAUCAGGAGCUUGCACAGGUGCUGCAUGGCUGUCGUCAGCUCGUGCCGUGAGGUGUUAGGUUAAGUCCUGCAACGAGCGCAACCCUCGUCGCUAGUUAAUUUUCUAGCGAUACUGCCCGUAUAACGCGGAGGAAGGUGGGGAUGACGUCAAGUCAGCAUGGCCCUUACGUCCUGGGCUACACACACGCUACAAUGGGUGAUACAAAAGGUUGCAAUAGAGUGAUCUGGAGCUAAUCCUGAAAAUCAUCCUCAGUUCGGAUUGUAGGCUGAAACUGCCUGCAUGAAGUUGGAGUUGCUAGUAACCGCAGGUCAGCACACUGCGGUGAAUACGUUCUCGGGCCUU
This 403-nucleotide ribosomal RNA is filed under the name uncultured Chloroflexota bacterium. Its description in RNAcentral is "bacterial SSU rRNA". It matches the Rfam family "Bacterial small subunit ribosomal RNA", at positions 961 to 1382 of the family's 1533-position model. Lineage: Bacteria; Bacillati; Chloroflexota. The record is from RNAcentral.